GGGGCUAUAGCUCAGCUGGGAGAGCGCUUGCAUGGCAUGCAAGAGGUCGCCGGUUCGAUCCCGGCUAGCUCCA
Molecule: non-coding RNA, 73 nt
Organism: Gammaproteobacteria bacterium
Lineage: Bacteria; Pseudomonadati; Pseudomonadota; Gammaproteobacteria
Source: Rfam